CUCUGUCUCCAAAAAAAAAAAGACUCAAGACCAGUAUCUCUUAGCCAAGACCAAGCAAUUAACUUCUUUCUCUCCCAUCCUUUCCAGAGUUCCUCAGUGAUAUUCCUCUCUGGGAUUGCUUUGUUUUUUUCUGGGAUGGCUGUACUGGAGAUUGUGGAGUCAGGUGGAAGAUUUGGAAUAACAGGGUUAGAAACCCCAGGAAGAACUCAGAAGCUCCUCCUGGCUCACCUGCAUCCUCAAAUAAGCCUUCUGUCCAGUUCUAAUCUCCAGCCCAUCGACCUCCGCUGGAGGAAUGGGGGCCAGUGCUGGAAGGCCUGCGUGUUGGUCACCCAGUUUGCAGUCCACAUAGAGAUGUAGGGCAGGGCUGGCUCUGGAGGGGCCUCGGAGUCGCAGGAGAACUGUGUGUGUGCGCCCAUCGGCCAGGCCUGCUUGCUGUAGGUUCACGGCAUGGACUUUGCCAUCCUCCCGCUGGUACCGCACCAGUACUGCCCAGGAGGGGAGAUCAGUAUGGGCACUGUCCUCCCAUCCCCUGCCUCCCAGUUGAGCCUUGGAUCAACUCUGCUGGAUACAUCUCUAGAGCCCCCAUCCCUAAUUCUACUAUGUAACUCUCAACACCUUGUAUGUAAUAGGUAGACAAUAAAUGUUUUUCAAAUUGGUU
This is a long non-coding RNA of Saimiri boliviensis boliviensis (Bolivian squirrel monkey), 658 nucleotides long. RefSeq lists it as uncharacterized. The record is from RefSeq and is a predicted model, not a curated record. Lineage: Eukaryota; Metazoa; Chordata; Mammalia; Primates; Cebidae.